RNAcentral lists this transfer-messenger RNA (390 nucleotides) under Parcubacteria group bacterium. It matches the Rfam family "transfer-messenger RNA". From Rfam's summary of the family: Bacterial tmRNA, also known as 10Sa RNA or SsrA, is named for its dual tRNA and mRNA-like properties. Its role is to liberate the mRNA from a stalled ribosome. The record is from RNAcentral.
GGGGAUGUUUAAAAUCGAUAGAAUCUGGAUUUAAAGUAUUCAAGUUAAGCGUUGACAAUUUAGCUUGUUAAUCUCAAAUUGUCAUUCCAACAAAUGCAAAUUCAUUUGUCGCUAAGGUAAAAAGAGCUUUUAGCUCUCUAGCCCUAGCACCUGCACCAAUCGCUUAAGAUUAGUGCCAUCAGCCUGGCGAAAUCUAAUAGCCAGAUCCUGGUGCCAUACAUUAGAUUGCACUAGAUUAGGGUCUUACUAAUCUACUAAGCAUUACAAGACUUUGACUCGUAGGGUUUUGUCAAUUUUAUACCUACCAGUCGAAACUAAAAAUUGGAUACACUUGUAAACUUACUUUAGCUCUAAUUCUAGACAGGGGUGCGAUUCCCCUCAUCUCCACCA